CUACAUAUACUUACUAUUGCGUUGCGAAAUUUCACCAAGCAACCUCAAAGCACGAGCCUGAGUGAACUCUUCUCUUUCCCCAUCAGUUGCUGUGGUCAUAGAAUAAUGCGAGCACCCCAUUGAGAAAAUCUGUCACAAAGUGAGCCAUGGACACCUGAGUAUUGGCCAAAAUAAAAUUUACGAGUGGUUCAUGGAAAUAAAAUAAAAUAUAAAUAAUUAUUAAAUAAUUUGAUUCAUGGAAUGGAAUUGACAUACUCAACAUACUUUAAUAUUUGAAUUAUAAUUUUUUUUUUAUAAUUUAAAAGAGCUUACAUUUUCCAAGAGAAAGUUACCAAAUGAGUUAGGAAAAGAUAGUUACCAUACCUGGUUAAUAUAAUUUGUGAGGUUUCAAACAACCAUUUUCCGUCUAUGCGCCCUUUCCAAAAACAAGCAGAAGCCAUUGGCA
RNAcentral lists this long non-coding RNA (445 nucleotides) under Theobroma cacao (cacao). Its description in RNAcentral is "long non-coding RNA (TCAC_LNC000853)". The record is from RNAcentral. Lineage: Eukaryota; Viridiplantae; Streptophyta; Magnoliopsida; Malvales; Malvaceae.